RNAcentral lists this long non-coding RNA (1938 nucleotides) under Mustela putorius furo (domestic ferret). RNAcentral describes it as "lncRNA (ENSMPUG00000028336.1)". Lineage: Eukaryota; Metazoa; Chordata; Mammalia; Carnivora; Mustelidae. The record is from RNAcentral.
AUGUGGUGUUGCUGGUCUGGCAGGGUACUCAAAACCUCCUCCUUGGAGAGUGCUUUUUCUGGAACAUUCUCUGUAACAUGUAUGAAGUGUUCUCCCAUCUGGAAGCUCUGUCCCCUGGUGAAGUGGAUCCUGAUUAGAAAGUGGAAAUGUGAAUGCAGACAUGCACACGGAGGAUGCCGUGUGAAGAGGAAAGCAGAAAGUUGGGGCGAUGCAUCUCUACACUGAGGAACCGAUGACUGCCGGCAAAGCAUCCGAAGCUAACAUCUCUCUCACAGCCUUUACAAGCACCUGACCCUCCCAAUCCCCACCCUCCGCCGAAUAAAGAAGCCUCUGACCCUGUAGACAACCUGAUCUCAGACUUCCGGCCCCAGAAGUGUGAGAUAAUAUGUUUCUGUGGUUUAAGCCCCCCAGUUUGUGGUACGUUGUUAUGGCAACCCUUGGCAAAUGUGUAUGCUACGUUUCCCCACUUCCUGGAAAACCACCCCCACUGAUGUCAAAGGGUAGUGUGACCAUAUGACCCUGGCGAGUUCCCCCGUGGGGAGCAAGAGCUGCUCUCUGACCUGCAGAGAAUGUGGGAAGCUCCUAUGGGAAGAGGUGGCCAGUUCACAGCUUGCCUCUGGGGUAUUUCUUCCCCAUUUCCUCGCCCAUGGACCUGCUUGACCAGACCUUGCUGAAACUGCUGUGGGGUCAGGUAGCAGGUGAAGUUGCCUCUGGCGCAAGCUGUGUGUGCUGAGUCCAACCAGGCAGCUGGGCUGCGCUCCUGCACGGCCCCACUGAGGGAUUCCCCCAGUGCCUAGCUUGCCCUCCGCCCUAAGCUGGAGGGUUAGGUCCCUGGGUUGCUCUCGGUCUGCUUGGUACGAGGCACAGGCUGAGCAGAAGCCAGCUUUUAAAGAUUAUUUAUUUAUUUAUUUGACAGAGAGAGAGAUCACAAGUAGGCAGAGAGGCAGGCAGAGAGGGAGAGAGAGAGAGGAGGAAGCAGGCUCCCUGCUGAGCAGAGAGCCCGAUGCGGGACUCGAUCCCAGGACCCUGAGAUCAUGACCUGAGCUGAAGGCAGCGGCUUUACCCACUGAGCCACCCAGGCGCCCCAGAAGCCAGCUUUUUAAGUCGAGUGCAGCGUUGUGAGUGUCCGUGGCAUUCGGAGUCCUCUGCCACGGUCAUCCCAUUCCCCUGGUGGCACAGUCAGUUUAUAUUUAUCCCCCAGCCAGUGCUGGCUGUCUUUGGCACGUUUGAGUCCACUUCCUUUAUGUUACUAACAUGUCCCGGAGGGCGAAGAGCGCCCCCUGUCUUGUUCUCCUUGCACACUGGAAGCCACCAUUUGCCUUGGGCCUGUCUUUUGUAGCCCCAAUCGGCAGGCCUGCAUGGGGUGUUUUACCGGUUCAUCCUCACUGGGCAGGGAGGGGAACAGGACUCCAGGCUGGAGUGAUUUGCUCAGUGUUAUACAAUCAGAUCUAGACCAGGGUCCCCUGCACACAGUAGGUCCAUAGGAAGUGAGGUAGCUUGAUAGGCACCAUAUCGGAGUUCUGUGUUUGCUGGUUCCCCCAGUGUUCCAUAGGGGUCAGUCUGGCGACCUCUGUUAAGACAGGGAUAACCUCUUUGCUGCAGCCCCCGGGCUCCCAGCCCCAGCUCAGGCACGCAUUCCCCUCCUGUGCUGAUUGACGAGCAUGGUGUUAAACGUGUGGCCUUUUGCAGGCAACUCUAGGAGGGCGAUGAGCUUUAUAAAUCUGCCUAGUGCCUAAAAUUGAACCACACACAUAAUUCACUCACACGCACUUGCUCAGCCGGGCUUGCAUUCUCUCUGCCAUCCUGUCUCCAGCUCACGCCUGAUGCCUUAUGAUUCUGGACUUCUCCAGUGCGCAGUGGCAUGUCUGGUUGUCACAGAUUCCUGACCUUUGGGCCUUGGGUCCCCACAGGCAGCUCACUGUUAGCCAAACACCAGGC